This 221-nucleotide unclassified non-coding RNA is filed under the name uncultured fungus. RNAcentral's name for it is "sequence contains ITS1". Lineage: Eukaryota; Fungi. The record is from RNAcentral.
GUAUUAAUAUUAAGGCCUCACGGCACAAUCACGUUCAAUAUUGAAAUAAAGUGUGUAAUGAGAGGAAGGGACUCCAAGAAGAACUCGGAGACCCUCUCUAAAUGUGCACAGGUGUUUGGAAGAUGAUUGUUAGGGCAAGCACAUGCAUCCAAAAAUUGGCUGCCAGCAUCAAACCCCAUCACAACUCAUUAAUGAUCCUUCCGCAGGUUCACCUACGGAAA